GUACCCAGAAGAGGGUCCAAGACCAAGUGGUGGGCAGGUAGCUUCCACUGCAGAUGUGAAAAUCCAUCAUUCCCACAGGUCUCUGGAGGUGAUGCCUGCCUCAUCUGCCAUGCCAGCACCUGUGUCCACCAUGGAGCUGAGGCAACCCUCACUCUCCAGCCAGGUGCAAUGGCCUUAUGGCCAAGCCUCCUUCCUGGGAUACUUUCUGGAGAGUCACGGUGCUCCUUGAGUUCGCUGAG
Long non-coding RNA from Acomys russatus (golden spiny mouse), 239 nucleotides. RefSeq lists it as uncharacterized. The transcript is spliced from 3 exons. NCBI's taxonomy places the organism in Eukaryota, Metazoa, Chordata, Mammalia, Rodentia, Muridae. The record is from RefSeq and is a predicted model, not a curated record.